Molecule: ribosomal RNA, 497 nt
Filed under: uncultured bacterium
Lineage: Bacteria
Description: partial 16S ribosomal RNA
Rfam family: Bacterial small subunit ribosomal RNA
Source: RNAcentral
GAUGAACGCUGGCGGCGUGCCUAAUACAUGCAAGUCGAGCGAACAGACGAGGAGCUUGCUCCUCUGACGUUAGCGGCGGACGGGUGAGUAACACGUGGAUAACCUACCUAUAAGACUGGGAUAACUUCGGGAAACCGGAGCUAAUACCGGAUAAUAUAUUGAACCGCAUGGUUCAAUAGUAAAAGACGGUUUUGCUGUCACUUAUAGAUGGAUCCGCGCCGCAUUAACUAGUUGGUAAGGUAACGGCUUACCAAGGCAACGAUGCGUAGCCGACCUGAGAGGGUGAUCGGCCACACUGGAACUGAGACACGGUCCAGACUCCUACGGGAGGCAGCAGUAGGGAAUCUUCCGCAAUGGGCGAAAGCCUGACGGAGCAACGCCGCGUGAGUGAUGAAGGUCUUCGGAUCGUAAAACUCUGUUAUUAGGGAAGAACAAAUGUGUAAGUAACUAUGCACGUCUUGACGGUACCUAAUCAGAAAGCCACGGCUAACUACGUG